RNAcentral lists this ribosomal RNA (681 nucleotides) under Triticum aestivum (bread wheat). Its description in RNAcentral is "partial small subunit ribosomal RNA". Lineage: Eukaryota; Viridiplantae; Streptophyta; Magnoliopsida; Poales; Poaceae. The record is from RNAcentral.
AUGAUGGUUCCUCAGGUGAGAUCGGCGGUGCGGCGCGGCCUACGCGGCCGCACAGGCCCAACGUUAUCGGGCUGCCGGGCUGCCAGUUUGCCACCUCAAGCCGCGACAUGCAGCUCCCUCUGCUCUGGAAUCGCCGCAUGCGCGCCACCAGCCACCCCGCAGCUGACGUGCCGCGAGGCGAGAGGACGCCGCUCGCAUCCGGCAAGAAACCAAACUGCACCGCCGCCGUUCCGAGCAAUCAGCGCCUACAAAUCCACCACACACAAGAGCUCACACAGGCAAGACAGACACCGAAGUAUCCACACGACCAGACACCAGCACGCGACACAAGAGGCCUUUGGAGGAGCGAUACACUACACGUACACGAUGCAGACGGCGAAGGUGAAGGACAUGGUGAGCUCGGCCAAGGAGAAGGCGCAGGAGGGAUCGGCCGAGGUGCAGGGCAAGGCGGGCAAGGCCGCGGCGACCACGCACGGCGAGAAGGAGAUGGCCAAGGAGGAGGAGCGCGCGCGCAAGGCCCAGGCCGACGCGCAGAAGCACCAGGAGAAGGCCGACGCGGCAGCGGGACGCCACGGCGCGGCCGGGACGCGCGGCCACUACGGCCCCGUGGGCACCCCCGUGGCCCCCGACCCCGCGUACCCGGCCAGCGGCUGGCACCCGGCGGCGGAGAAGUACAUCUAG